GAACGCUGGCGGCAGGCCUAACACAUGCAAGUCGAGCGGUAGCACAGAGAGCUUGCUCUCGGGUGACGAGCGGCGGACGGGUGAGUAAUGUCUGGGAAACUGCCUGAUGGAGGGGGAUAACUACUGGAAACGGUAGCUAAUACCGCAUAACGUCGCAAGACCAAAGUGGGGGACCUUCGGGCCUCAUGCCAUCAGAUGUGCCCAGAUGGGAUUAGCUAGUAGGUGGGGUAACGGCUCACCUAGGCGACGAUCCCUAGCUGGUCUGAGAGGAUGACCAGCCACACUGGAACUGAGACACGGUCCAGACUCCUACGGGAGGCAGCAGUGGGGAAUAUUGCACAAUGGGCGCAAGCCUGAUGCAGCCAUGCCGCGUGUGUGAAGAAGGCCUUCGGGUUGUAAAGCACUUUCAGCGGGGAGGAAGGCGUUAAGGUUAAUAACCUUGGCGAUUGACGUUACCCGCAGAAGAAGCACCGGCUAACUCCGUGCCAGCAGCCGCGGUAAUACGGAGGGUGCAAGCGUUAAUCGGAAUUACUGGGCGUAAAGCGCACGCAGGCGGUCUGUCAAGUCCGGAUGUGAAAUCCCCGGGCUCAACCUGGGAACUGCAUUCGAAACUGGCAGGCUAGAGUCUUGUAGAGGGGGGUAGAAUUCCAGGUGUAGCGGUGAAAUGCGUAGAGAUCUGGAGGAAUACCGGUGGGCGAAGGCGGCCCCCCUGGACAAAGACUGACGGUCAGGGUGCCGAAAGGCGUGGGGGGAGCAAACAGGAUUAGAUACCCUGGUAGUCCACGCCGUAAACGAUGUCGAUUUGGAGGGUUGUGCCCUUGAGGCGUGGCUUCCGGAGCUAACGCGUUAAAUCGACCGCCUGGGGAGUACGGCCGCAAGGUUAAAACUCAAAUGAAUUGACGGGGGCCCGCACAAGCGGUGGAGCAUGUGGUUUAAUUCGAUGCAACGCGAAGAACCUUACCUGGUCUUGACAUCCACAGAACUUUCCAGAGAUGGAUUGGUGCCUUCGGGAACUGUGAGACAGGUGCUGCAUGGCUGUCGUCAGCUCGUGUUGUGAAAUGUUGGGUUAAGUCCCGCAACGAGCGCAACCCUUAUCCUUUGUUGCCAGCGGUUCGGCCGGGAACUCAAAGGAGACUGCCAGUGAUAAACUGGAGGAAGGUGGGGAUGACGUCAAGUCAUCAUGGCCCUUACGACCAGGGCUACACACGUGCUACAAUGGCAUAUACAAAGAGAAGCGACCUCGCGAGAGCAAGCGGACCUCAUAAAGUAUGUCGUAGUCCGGAUUGGAGUCUGCAACUCGACUCCAUGAAGUCGGAAUCGCUAGUAAUCGUAGAUCAGAAUGCUACGGUGAAUACGUUCCCGGGCCUUGUACACACCGCCCGUCACACCAUGGGAGUGGGUUGCAAAAGAAGUAGGUAGCUUAACCUUCGGGAGGGCGCUUACCACUUUGUGAUUCAUGA
RNAcentral lists this ribosomal RNA (1460 nucleotides) under uncultured organism. RNAcentral's name for it is "SSU rRNA". It matches the Rfam family "Bacterial small subunit ribosomal RNA". The record is from RNAcentral.